AAUGAACGCUGGCGGCAUGCCUAACACAUGCAAGUCGAACGAGACCAUCGGGACUAGUGGCGUACGGGUGCGUAACGCGUGGGAAGCUGCCCUUAGGUUCGGAAUAACUCCCUGAAAGGGGUGCUAAUAUCGGAAAAUGUCCUCGGACCAAAGAUUUGUCUCAUUUGGAAGGGCCGGCGUUGGAUUAGCCGGUUGGUAGGGUAAAAGCCUAUCAAGGCGACGAUCCAUAGCUGGUCUGAGAGACUGAUCAGCCACUCUGGGGCUGGGACGCGGCCCGGACUCUUGCGGAAUGCAGCAGAGGCUGAUAUUGGACUAUCGGGUGAAGCAUGAUCCAGCUCGGCCUCUAGAGUGAUGUAGGCCGUAGGGUUGUAAAGCACUUUUACCCGGGAUGAUAAUGACGGUACCGGGAGAAUAAGCACCGGCUAACUCCGUG
RNAcentral lists this ribosomal RNA (433 nucleotides) under uncultured bacterium. RNAcentral describes it as "partial 16S ribosomal RNA". It matches the Rfam family "Bacterial small subunit ribosomal RNA", at positions 29 to 507 of the family's 1533-position model. The record is from RNAcentral.